RNAcentral lists this long non-coding RNA (349 nucleotides) under Homo sapiens (human). RNAcentral describes it as "non-protein coding lnc-RPS3A-3:1". Lineage: Eukaryota; Metazoa; Chordata; Mammalia; Primates; Hominidae. The record is from RNAcentral.
ACUAGGCGCGCUGCUCUGGUAGCACCAGGUGUGUACCCGGCCCGGCGAGGAGAGACCCUUCCGUCCGAGGGCCUACACUUUCCCCUCUCCCACUCUCGGACCUCGGGAGGUGCUUCUGCCAAGUCCUGAGGCGGGGAUUUUGGCGCUCCUGCUGUUGUUAAGUUACCGUAGGGUCUCUUGGCGCGGAGGGAACACGCGCUGCGUUGCCUAGGUGUCUCAUUGGACUUGGAGAAGAACACCUGAGGCACCUCUACGAGCCAGAGAGGUGACGGCGCUGGAGCCAGUGAGGCUGCUGUCCCUGCCCAAUGGGAGCGAGGAGUCCCCACCCCUGGCUGCUUUCAGCUGUUGC